This 72-nucleotide transfer RNA is filed under the name Bos taurus (domestic cattle). It matches the Rfam family "tRNA". From Rfam's summary of the family: Transfer RNA (tRNA) molecules are approximately 80 nucleotides in length. Their secondary structure includes four short double-helical elements and three loops (D, anti-codon, and T loops). RNAcentral also lists the same sequence under 5 other names. Lineage: Eukaryota; Metazoa; Chordata; Mammalia; Artiodactyla; Bovidae. The record is from Rfam by way of RNAcentral.
UCCCUGAUGGUUCAGUGGUUAGGACUCUGUAUUUUACUGCUGAGGGCCCAGGUUCAAUCCCUGGUUGGGGAA